RNAcentral lists this ribosomal RNA (382 nucleotides) under uncultured eukaryote. Its description in RNAcentral is "partial 18S ribosomal RNA". It matches the Rfam family "Eukaryotic small subunit ribosomal RNA", at positions 592 to 976 of the family's 1831-position model. The record is from RNAcentral.
CAAUAGCGUAUAUUAAAGUUGUUGCAGUUAAAAAGCUCGUAGUUGGACUUCUGCGGGUGGCGGCCGGUCGUGCUCGAAACGGGCGUGAACUUGGCGUGCUGCCCGCAUCUUUGGGGAGAUUGUGCGUGGCAUUAAGUUGUCGUGCAUGGGAUUCUCAUCAUUUACUGUGAAAAAAUUAGAGUGUUUAAAGCAGGCCUUUGCCUCGAAUACAUUAGCAUGGAAUAAUAAGAUAGGACCGUUGUCUAUUUUGUUGGUUUACAGAUGUCGGUAAUGAUUAAUAGGGAUAGUUGGGGGUAUUCGUAUUCAGUUGUCAGAGGUGAAAUUCUUGGAUUUUCGGAAGACGCACGACUGCGAAAGCAUUUACCAAGGAUGUUUUCAUUAA